RNAcentral lists this ribosomal RNA (426 nucleotides) under Pholcus ubin. RNAcentral describes it as "partial 16S ribosomal RNA". It matches the Rfam family "Bacterial large subunit ribosomal RNA", at positions 1829 to 2593 of the family's 2925-position model. Lineage: Eukaryota; Metazoa; Arthropoda; Arachnida; Araneae; Pholcidae. The record is from RNAcentral.
UUCUUUAAGAAAAUCAUAUAAAGUAAAACCUGCUCAAUGUUAUCGAUGAAUAGCCGCAGUAUAACUGUGCUAAGGUAGCGCAAUCACUUGCUCUUUAAUUUGGAGAUAGUAUGAACGGUUAAACACUUAAAAAAAGUAUCACUAGACCAUAUUAAUUUAAGCUAAAAGUAAAAACUCUUUUAAUAAAAGCGGGACGACAAGACCCCGACAAACUACAUCUUUUAGUUGGGGAAACAAAAUAAUAAUCAUUUAUUAAUACAAACACACCCACCUUUAGUAAUAAAAUUAAGAAAAGUUACUGCAGGGAUAACAGCGCAAUUUUCUCCUAGAGACCCUAUCCAAGAGAAAGAUUACGACCUCGAUGUUGAAUUAAAACCCCCUUAACAAUGCAGCAAUUGUGUAGGGUAGUCUGUUCGACUAUUAAAA